RNAcentral lists this ribosomal RNA (637 nucleotides) under uncultured bacterium. RNAcentral's name for it is "bacterial SSU rRNA". It matches the Rfam family "Bacterial small subunit ribosomal RNA", at positions 87 to 745 of the family's 1533-position model. The record is from RNAcentral.
CUUGAUUAGUGGCGCACGGGUGAGUAAUGCAUAGAUAAUGUGCCCCUUAGUUCGGGAUAGCCACUGGAAACGGUGAUUAAUACCGGAUACUCCUUCUCGUUAUAAGACGAGUCGGGAAAGUUUUUCGCUAAGGGAUCAGUCUAUGUUCCAUCAGCUUGUUGGUGAGGUAAUGGCUCACCAAGGCUAUGACGGAUAUCUGGUUUGAGAGGAUGAUCAGACACACUGGAACUGAGACACGGUCCAGACUCCUACGGGAGGCAGCAGUGAGGAAUAUUGCACAAUGGAGGAAACUCUGAUGCAGCAACGCCGCGUGGAGGAUGACGCAUUUCGGUGUGUAAACUCCUUUUAUUAGGGAAGAUAAUGACGGUACCUAAUGAAUAAGCACCGGCUAACUCCGUGCCAGCAGCCGCGGUAAUACGGAGGGUGCAAGCGUUACUCGGAAUCACUGGGCGUAAAGGGUGCGUAGGCUGGCUUUUAAGUCAGAUGUGAAAUCCAAUGGCUCAACCAUUGAACUGCAUUUGAAACUGAAAGCCUAGAGUUCAGAAGGGGCAGAUGGAAUUAGUGGUGUAGGGGUAAAAUCCGUAGAUAUCACUAGGAAUAUCAAAAGCGAAGGCGAUCUGCUGGGAUGAUACUGACG